This 60-nucleotide microRNA precursor is filed under the name Microcaecilia unicolor. Its description in RNAcentral is "Mun-Mir-29-P2d_pre stem-loop". It matches the Rfam family "mir-29 microRNA precursor family", at positions 6 to 64 of the family's 70-position model. Rfam says of the family: This family represents the microRNA (miRNA) precursors mir-29. Animal miRNAs are transcribed as ~70nt precursors and subsequently processed by the Dicer enzyme to give a ~22nt product. In this case the mature sequence comes from the 3' arm of the precursor. Lineage: Eukaryota; Metazoa; Chordata; Amphibia; Gymnophiona; Siphonopidae. The record is from RNAcentral.
ACCGAUUUUUCUUGGUGUUCAGAGUCACAGUUUUUGUCUAGCACCAUUUGAAAUCGGUUA